AUUUUAAUAAUUAAACUCUUUAAAGUAUUUACAUUGAAGAUGUAAUUUAAAUUGGAGUA
This 59-nucleotide transfer RNA is filed under the name Tetranychus urticae (two-spotted spider mite). RNAcentral describes it as "tRNA-Phe". The record is from RNAcentral. Lineage: Eukaryota; Metazoa; Arthropoda; Arachnida; Trombidiformes; Tetranychidae.